GAUGAAGAACGUAGCGAAAUGCGAUAAGUAAUGUGAAUUGCAGAAUUCAGUGAAUCAUCGAGUCUUUGAACGCACAUUGCGCCCCCUGGUAUUCCGGGGGGCAUGCCUGUCCGAGCGUCAUUGCUGCCCAUCAAGCACGGCUUGUGUGUUGGGUCCCGUCCCCCUCUCCCGGGGGACGGACCCGAAAGGCAGCGGCGGCACCGCGUCCGGUCCUCGAGCGUAUGGGGCUUUGUCACCCGCUCUUGUAGGCCCGGCCGGCGCUUGCCGACACCCAACCAUUUUUUUCAGGUUGACCUCGGAUCAGGUAGGGAUACCCGCUGAACUUAAGCAUAUCAAUAAGCGGAGGA
Molecule: unclassified non-coding RNA, 347 nt
Filed under: soil metagenome
Description: partial contains 5.8S ribosomal RNA, internal transcribed spacer 2, and large subunit ribosomal RNA
Rfam family: 5.8S ribosomal RNA (bases 1-120)
Source: RNAcentral